UACGGAGGGUCCGAGCGUUAAUCGGAAUUACUGGGCGUAAAGCGCGCGCAGGCGGGUUGUUAAGCGAGAUGUGAAAGCCCCGGGCUUAACCUGGGAAUUGCAUUUCGGACUGGCGGACUAGAGUACUUUAGAGAGGGGUAGAAUUCCAGGUGUAGCGGUGAAAUGCGUAGAGAUGUGGAGGAAUACCGGAGGCGAAGGCAGCCCCCUGGAAAAAGACUGACGCUCAUGUGCGAAAGCGUGGGGAGCAAACAGG
Molecule: ribosomal RNA, 253 nt
Filed under: uncultured bacterium
Lineage: Bacteria
Description: partial 16S ribosomal RNA
Rfam family: Bacterial small subunit ribosomal RNA
Source: RNAcentral